RNAcentral lists this ribosomal RNA (253 nucleotides) under uncultured bacterium. RNAcentral's name for it is "partial 16S ribosomal RNA". It matches the Rfam family "Bacterial small subunit ribosomal RNA", at positions 524 to 776 of the family's 1533-position model. The record is from RNAcentral.
UACGGAGGGGGCUAGCGUUGUUCGGAAUUACUGGGCGUAAAGCGCGCGUAGGCGGACCUGCAAGUCGGGGGUGAAAGCCCGAGGCUCAACCUCGGAACUGCCUUCGAUACUGCGGGUCUCGAGUCCGGGAGAGGUGAGUGGAAUUCCUAGUGUAGAGGUGAAAUUCGUAGAUAUUAGGAAGAACACCAGUGGCGAAGGCGGCCAUCUGGCUCGGUACUGACGCUCAGGCGCGAAAGCGUGGGGAGCAAACAGG